RNAcentral lists this transfer RNA (83 nucleotides) under Clostridiales bacterium. Its description in RNAcentral is "tRNA-Leu". It matches the Rfam family "tRNA". Rfam says of the family: Transfer RNA (tRNA) molecules are approximately 80 nucleotides in length. Their secondary structure includes four short double-helical elements and three loops (D, anti-codon, and T loops). Lineage: Bacteria; Bacillati; Bacillota; Clostridia; Eubacteriales. The record is from RNAcentral.
GCGGUCGUGGCGGAACUGGCAGACGCGUACGUUUGAGGGGCGUAUGGGCAACCAUAUGGGUUCAAGUCCCAUCGUCCGCACCA